AAAAAGUAAAAGUCGUAACAAGGUUUCCGUAGGUGAACCUGCGGAAGGAUCAUUAAAGAAUAAUUCUUGAUCCGACCAAAGAAAGGAGGGAGAGUUGUAGCUGGCCCUAGGCACGUGCACGCUUUCUUUCUGGACUUUGGUCGUAUGGGCGCGGAGGGUCAACCUCUGCGUCUUCAUAUGCCCCUCUUCGUGUAGAAAGUCUUUGAAUGUUUUUACUAUCAUCGAGUCGCGACUUCUAGGAGAUGCGAUUCUUUGAGACAAAAGUUAUUACAACUUUCAGCAAUGGAUCUCUUGGCUCUCGCAUCGAUGAAGAACGCAGCGAAUAGCGAUAUGUAAUGUGAAUUGCAGAUCUACAGUGAAUCAUCGAAUCUUUGAACGCACCUUGCGCUCCUCGGUGUUCCGAGGAGCAUGCCUGUUUGAGCGUCAGUAAAUUCUCAACUCCUCUCGAUUGACUUCGAGUGGAGCUUGGAUAGUGGGGGCUGCCGGAGACCUGAAUAUUCGUGUUCGGGACUCGGGCUCCUCUGAAAUGUAUUGGCUUGCGGUCUGUUUUCGACUUUGCAUGACAAGGCUUUUGGCGUGAUAAUGAUCGCCGCUCGCCGAAGUGCAUGAAUGAAACCGUGCCGUGCCUCUAAUCCGUCGAUGCCUCUAUGGGGCGUCUUCUUUACGCAUUUGACCUCAAAUCAGGUAGGACUACCCGCUGAACUUAAGCUUAUAUUAUAGCGGGGGGAGAAA
RNAcentral lists this ribosomal RNA (732 nucleotides) under Suillus bovinus. RNAcentral describes it as "eukaryotic LSU rRNA". The stretch from base 272 to 426 matches the Rfam family "5.8S ribosomal RNA". The record is from RNAcentral. Lineage: Eukaryota; Fungi; Basidiomycota; Agaricomycetes; Boletales; Suillaceae.